AGCAGCCGCGGUAAUUCCAGCUCCAAUAGCGUAUAUUAAAGUUGUUGCAGUUAAAAAGCUCGUAGUUGAAUUUCGGGGUCAGUAGGUUGGUCAUGCCUUCGGUAUGUACUGGUCUCACUGAUUCCUCCCUCUUGAAGAACCGUAAUGUCAUUAAUUUGAUGUUGCGGGGAAACAGGACUGUUACUUUGAAAAAUUAGAGUGUUUAAAGCAGGCUCACGCUUGAAUACAUUAGCAUGGAAUAAUGAAAUAGGACGUUCGAUCCUAUUUUGUUGGUUUCUAGGAUUGACGUAAUGAUUAAUAGGGAUGGUUGGGGGCAUUAGUAUUCAAUUGUCAGAGGUGAAAUUCUUGGAUUUAUUGAAGACUAACUACUGCGAAAGCAUUUGCCAAGGAUGUUUUCAUUAAUCAAGAACGAAAGUUAGGGGAUCGAAGACGAUCAGAUACCGUCGUAGUCUUAACCAUAAACUAUGCCGACUAGGGAUCGGAUGAUGUUAAUUUUUAAUGUACUCAUUCGGCGCCUUAA
This 520-nucleotide ribosomal RNA is filed under the name uncultured Glomeromycotina. RNAcentral's name for it is "SSU rRNA". It matches the Rfam family "Eukaryotic small subunit ribosomal RNA", at positions 569 to 1091 of the family's 1831-position model. The record is from RNAcentral. Lineage: Eukaryota; Fungi; Glomeromycota.